This is a long non-coding RNA of Gopherus evgoodei (Goodes thornscrub tortoise), 183 nucleotides long. RefSeq lists it as uncharacterized. The transcript is spliced from 3 exons. The record is from RefSeq and is a predicted model, not a curated record. Lineage: Eukaryota; Metazoa; Chordata; Testudines; Testudinidae.
GAAAUGAGUUCCACAGGUUAACUGUGCAUUGUAUGAAGACAUACUUCAUUUUUUUUGUUUUAAACGAACUGAUUAUUAAUUUCAUCGGAUGACCCCUGCAUCUUUUGUUGUGUGAAGGGGUAAGCAAGACUUCUCUAUUCACUUUCUCCACACCAUUCAUGACUUUAUAAUGUUUAUCAUAUU